AUACGGAGGGUGCAAGCGUUAAUCGGAAUCACUGGGCGUAAAGGACGCGUAGGCGGGUUGGCAAGUCAGAUGUGAAAUCCUACAGCUUAACUGUAGAACUGCAUUUGAAACUGCUAACCUAGAGUAUGGGAGGGGGAGAUGGAAUUAGUGGUGUAGGGGUAAAAUCCGUAGAUAUCACUAGGAAUACCGAAAGCGAAGGCGAUCUCCUGGAACAUAACUGACGCUAAGGCGUGAAAGCGUGGGGAGCAAACAGGAUUAGAAACCCUUGUAGUCC
This 274-nucleotide ribosomal RNA is filed under the name uncultured bacterium. Its description in RNAcentral is "partial 16S ribosomal RNA". It matches the Rfam family "Bacterial small subunit ribosomal RNA", at positions 523 to 796 of the family's 1533-position model. The record is from RNAcentral.